CCUACGGGAGGCAGCAGUAAGGAAUAUUGGUCAAUGGACGCAAGUCUGAACCAGCCAUGCCGCGUGGAGGAUGAAGGUCCUCUGGAUUGUAAACUUCUUUUAUCUGGGAAGAAAUGGUUGCUUUCUAGCGAUCUUGACGGUACCAGAUGAAUAAGCACCGGCUAACUCUGUGCCAGCAGCCGCGGGUAAU
This 190-nucleotide ribosomal RNA is filed under the name uncultured bacterium. Its description in RNAcentral is "partial 16S ribosomal RNA". It matches the Rfam family "Bacterial small subunit ribosomal RNA", at positions 338 to 524 of the family's 1533-position model. The record is from RNAcentral.